GGAGUCGGCCGGACAGUCGCUGCCUCGGCAACGAGGUGGAGGAAAGUCCGGGCUCCACAGGGCAGGGUGCCAGGUAACGCCUGGGGGACGCAAGUCUACGGAAAGUGCCGCAGAAAAGAUACCGCCUAAGCGCCUUUGGCGCCGGUAAGGGUGAAAUGGUGCGGUAAGAGCGCACCGCGCUGACGGUAACGCCAGUGGCAGGGUAAACCCCACCCGGAGCAAGACCAAAUAGGGGAGCAUUGGUGUGGCCCGCAUCGCUCCCGGGUAGGUUGCUUGAGGUGCACGGUGACGUGCAUCCCAGAUGAAUGGCUGUCCUCGACAGAACCCGGCUUACAGGCCGGCUCCCCCU
RNAcentral lists this RNase P RNA (349 nucleotides) under endosymbiont of Ridgeia piscesae. Its description in RNAcentral is "Bacterial RNase P class A". It matches the Rfam family "Bacterial RNase P class A". From Rfam's summary of the family: Ribonuclease P (RNase P) is a ubiquitous endoribonuclease, found in archaea, bacteria and eukarya as well as chloroplasts and mitochondria. Its best characterised activity is the generation of mature 5'-ends of tRNAs by cleaving the 5'-leader elements of precursor-tRNAs. Cellular RNase Ps are ribonucleoproteins. The record is from RNAcentral. Lineage: Bacteria; Pseudomonadati; Pseudomonadota; Gammaproteobacteria.